This 104-nucleotide non-coding RNA is filed under the name Salinicoccus halodurans. Its description in RNAcentral is "SAM-I sequence". It matches the Rfam family "SAM riboswitch aptamer (S box leader)". From Rfam's summary of the family: The SAM riboswitch is found upstream of a number of genes which code for proteins involved in methionine or cysteine biosynthesis in Gram-positive bacteria. The record is from RNAcentral. Lineage: Bacteria; Bacillati; Bacillota; Bacilli; Caryophanales; Staphylococcaceae.
UAUUUAUCCAGAGAAGUGGAGGGAUCAGGCCCGAUGAAACUUCAGCAGCGGACUCUGCGGAGUACUGUGCUAAAUCCUGCAGGCAGCGGCUUGAGAGAUGAAAU